AGGGCGGCGAUCUCACUUCCACUCUCCGCCCUUUACCCGAAGGCCAAGCUUACAUGCCCUCUUUCCCUCCCAUCUCUCCUUUCGGUCCCUCGUCCACCUGCCUCGGGCUCGUUACCGUGAGCCAUCGCCCUCCUCCUCGUCGUCCUCUCCGGGAUGAGGAGCUUCUCCCCUUCUCCUCCCUAUUCUCAUGUCUUGUAUCUUCUCUCCGCCCUCGGUGGCGACGGAGGCGUCGAGGGCAGCGCCGGCCCACGAGAGCUUCGCCGACAUGAUUGAUCAGGCUCUCAGGAAGGAGUUCCCCGAAAGCGAGCAGACCGUUGGAGCAUACAAUGGAUUGCAAGUAUUCAAACAUGGCAUCAUUCAGGCAGGAUGUUCUCCCGUAGAGUUUCAAUGUUGGAAUAUGCACUGAAAAAUAAAACGAACGAAAUCUGGAAACUGUAGCCGGAGUUACGUCAAAGAAAAAUGACACCAAAGAGAAGUUGUUUCAGUUUCUUGAUGUUGUCAAUUUAGACAAUGAGAAUCUGGCAGAAGACAGCCCUACCUUGAUAGACCACAUGGAUAAUGUCUUUAUUAUAUCAAAUCCCAGGUAAAAAUAUCCUGUCCUGCAGUUAGACUUGAGGUAUGUCUUCUGCACUUUGUCCAUGAUCAUAAGGGUUAUGUUUACUCAAUAUAGAUUGCCAAUGUUUCACCCUUUUAGUUAGUCUCUUUCUGUAUAAAUUAGACCUUAGCUAUGAAUUAUUCACCAUUUGAUCCUAUCCAGCACUUCUUCCCUGGUCAACUGAGCAUUUUCUGUUCUUUCAUUUGUAAAUUUAUCUUGGAUUUGAACCUUUGCCAUCCUGAAAUGCAGGCUUCUCCGUCAUAAUGCCUCCUGUAAUCCUUGGUAUAAAUUUCCUCACCAUUAGUUGAUUUUCCACCACUCAACCUAUGGUUUAUAGUAUAUACUUUUAUUUGGAACUCUUUGGCUCAGGGUUUCCUUUCAGGUCACAUGUCAAAUAAAUUGGUUCUGUAUUAUCAAUGAUCAAAAUUUUGGCUGAAGUUUUAAACAUAUAUGUUUGUUAGUGCAUGAGCGCAUGCCUAAUACUUAUCGAACCAUAUAUGCUAGCGUGAGACUGAUUUUGGUGGAAACAACAUCAGUUCUGGUCAUUUUGGCUCCAAUGGAAUAGGUUUCAUCGUGAAUGAAUCCACUGGUUAGUUGUAUACAAUGUAUUAAGUUGGUCAUAACCCACAUGUUUCUUGCAAUUGCACUUUUCUUCUAUAGCUUAGUCACUAGAAGUGAGUGCGAGUGCGGAUGCGGGAAUGAGGAAGCGGCUGUCAUAAAAAUGAAUUUUAGUAAGAAAUGCUUAGCGGGUCUUGUGCAUAUAUUAUCUAGUGCACAUGUUUAGACUAACCAGUGCAGGCAUUUAGGCUGAGUAUGUUUAACAAGAUAUUCACAUCUAAAUGACUAGCUGCACACAUUUAAACUACCUGGUGUGCAUGGAUAAAUAGGAAAUAAUCUGUUGCAUGUAGUAUACACACUUAGACAAAUUGGUAUAUCAUAAGUGUGAUUCACAUUUGGGCUAACCAGUUCACAUAUUUAUCGGUACACAUAGAAAAUAUGGAAUAGUAUGUGUACCUCGAGGGUGUACAUCUUUUUACUAACUGAUGCGCAUAUUCUAGAGUAUAAAAUUUGGGUAUUGGAUGCACAUGUUUCAUGUUGAUCGGGCAAGAGAAAAUUAGGUCAGAAAAAUUGAAAAAACAGCUGAUCCUGCAGAGAAGAUAAAAAUGGCCAUUUCUUCAAAUCUGAAAAUGUGAAGGGCCAUUCAUGCAAAAUACCCUACAGCAUUUUAUGCUUUAUAAGAUAUUAUGAUCUUGGAGGGUUUUUCAUUUUUUUUCCUUUACGAGUAAAAAAAGAAAUAUAAUUUGGUAUUUCACUUUUAUAUUCGUUUUUUUUUUAAAAAUAGUAGUUUCACCAAGGUCCGCCGUACCAGUACCGGUCGGCGUACCGGUGGCGGCCCGGACCGGUACGAAAUUGGUCUCGUACCGGUGGCGUACCGGUCCGAACCGGUCCCGUACCGGUCUCGUACCGGUUCUUCAACAAUAAACUAUCGGUACCGGAUUCCACGCUAAUCCGGUGCCGGUUUCAGGCCGGACCGGCCCGUACUGGCUCGUACCGGCCGGUACGGCAGACCAUGAGUUUCACCUUUGAAAUCAAAUCUGUUUUUGCUUAGCCAAUUUUUUAAUGAUCACAAUUGUUGUUUUUUAUUGAGUGCAUCUUUCACUGUGGCAACUUCGAUGCCUCUUCCAAUGUACUUAUUACUAACCCUAAUCGGUCGCCCCUUUUAUUCACUGACACCAUCCAUAUCUCCCUCUCUCUCAUUCUCAUAUGUGAUUGCACUAGGUUAUAACUUGGCCAUCAAUCUUGACAUGGGUGAUUAGAAUCAUGCUAUAUUCUUCAUAAUCUCAUCCAUAUAUGCAAUUUAUUGUUCCACCCUAUUCUCACAUUAUUAGCAUGAUUUUAAUAGACAUGGUGCCUCUUCAUUCGCCUAUAACUAAUGCAACAACAAAAGAGAUUUGAAUUUUUUAGCAGGUAAUCAUAACCAACAAAUCUUGUGCCAUUGAUUCAGUUUCAUUAUAUGAACUAUACUUUGGGACACAUUCUCAUCGGGGGCAUGUUUUAACUAAUCCUCUCCCACAACUUCCAUCUUGGCCAUCUUAGACUUUGUUGAUAUUGCAUAUGUUGCUUGGAAUCUACUCUACAUGAUGACACGCAUUUCAUUGAAUAUUUUUUUGCAGGUUGAUAUCUGAUCUUGUUGUGGUCAUUGUGUCUGCAACCUGUGGUGGCAUUGCCUUUUGACUGUCCUGGACAACCGGCAUUCCUAGUUGUGGUGGGUUAAUGUCAGUGCAUAUGUGCAGAUGUAAUUAUGUUGACACGGUUGCUCAGUUUGGUGUAAUUUUGCUUGUUUUCGUGUGGGGCUCGGAGUUCUCUGCAGCAAAGCUUCGCGUUGUUGCAUGAAGUUGCUGUUCUUGGGGGCUUACUUCAAACUUUUCUUUUCACGUGCUUAUGUGGUAUAACCGCUUUAGUAUGUCUUGCUUCCUCAUUGACAAGUUUUGAGAUGAAUUCUGUUUUUGGCUCUAUCUAAUCUAAAACAUACACAAGAUCUUUAGUCCUUUUGUUGAUAUCUUAAAAUCAACAAGGAGUGCUUUGCUGAAGCAAAUAUAUAUGUUGCAGGACAAGUUCACUUUCAUUCUCAAUCUGCCAAUAACAAUCAUUGCGACCAUCAUAUACUAGCUACAUUGGAAAAUUUCAUAUUUCAUGAAAAAACGUUAUGUGCACAAUUUGCUCAUUUUCCUUACUACGUUACGGUGACUACCUCAUGGUUAUAAACUAUGCUAAUUUCUCUUGACAAAAUUAAAGUUGAUUGUUUUGACUCUUUACUUCUUGUCUGACUCACCUCAUGUUUUAAUAAAAACAUAGUUUUGUUAUCUGAACUAAAGGUUGACUUGAGGAAUCUGUCAAGUUUCUUUUACAUGAAGCAUUUUGCAUUGUUUCACUAGCAUUUUUUAUUAUGAAACAUUCAAAGGGAUUUAUAGAUAUUAGAUCAUCUUUCCUAACAAUAGCUCUUGAUUAUAUUUGAAAAAUUGUGAAAAUCAGGAUAACCUUCAGUGAUACUAGUACUAUAUUUAGCUUGAAAACUUCUUGCAUCUAUUGACAGAGUAAUAUUUUUGUUCCCUUUGCCCCUCUCUAUUGAUGCCAAGUGCAUGAUGUGGCAUGGGUCGCGAGUCCAAGCCGCAUGGGUCGUGGGUCCUAUAUGCGUAGGUCUCGAGACACGACUAGUUUUUGAUGAUUAGUUAUUUUUUCUAUCUUAAUUAGGAAAGUUUGAUGUUAGUAAAUUCUAGGAAGUUUUGAUUUUUAUGAACUUUCAUUUUAAGAACUUUGAUGUUAUUAGGAAAGUUAGUAGUUUGGGUUUUUCGAGUUGGAAUGGAACUUGGAAUCCUAUAUUGAAAGGUUGAAGAAAAGCGUCCUUUUUUAUUACUUAUAAAUACCUCCAUUGAGGCUCCUCUUGUAAUCAUACUAGAAACAUUUGAGUUAUCGAUUAGUGAGAAUUCUCUUAUAGGAAUUAUUCUUGCCUUCUUAGUAUUCUCUCUCCUCUCUUUUGGUGAAUUUCUAGGAUUCGCGAGUGAACAAGCUGUAUCCUUGGAGUGGCCAAAUAAGAUCAUAUUUUUGGCCUUGGAGGAGUGUUUCACCUCUGCUCCUCUUUCAACUACCAUCUUCCUAUUCUAACACAUUGUUUUGUACGGGUCAUAAUAGGGUUUCUUCUUUGCCAUAAUUGACUGUGUUGAUUUACCCUUUCUCUUUCGAAUUUUCAGCCCAAUUCAAUACCUCCUUGGCUUCGAUAUUGGAGCACAAUUUCAGGAUGUCCUGCCGCCACAAUGUUGAAGAGCGUGUUCAACGAGUACGAGAUCUAUGAAACAUCGAAUUAGAUGAAUUGUGCCACCAGUUUGAACAACUUUAAGAUGAAAUUCAACGACUUCAACAGCAUCAAGAGCAACAUGAAUGCUGACAUCGUUAGGAUUUCAAUCAUUAUUCUAAUAGAGAGCUAUUUGAUGAUGAAAGCAGAUGUUCCAAUAAAAUAGUGGAAGAUUUCAAUUCAUUCUACAGCAUAAGAGCAUCUUCAUCGAGUAAAGAAGAUAUCCGAUGCCACCGUGAACAGAGACCACAUCACAACCAUCGUAACUUCGGCAUCAAAAUAGACAUUCUUAAUUUUGAAGAUUUCCUGCAACCUAAAGAGUACAUUGAUUGGCUCUACAUAGAUGAACAAGUCUUCGAGCGUAAUGAAGUUUCCAACGAUUGAUGGAUGAAGUUAGUCGCCAGCAAGCUCAAAAAGUAUGCAUCAAUUUGGUGGAAAAUCCAUAUAUUAUUCUGUAUAAUAUAAUCAUAAAGAAUGGGUGUGAAAUCCAUAUCAAGAUUGCAAGCUAUGCAUUAUAACUAAGUAAGACAUAAUUAUUAAA
This is a non-coding RNA of Phoenix dactylifera (date palm), 4986 nucleotides long. NCBI's taxonomy places the organism in Eukaryota, Viridiplantae, Streptophyta, Magnoliopsida, Arecales, Arecaceae. The record is from RefSeq and is a predicted model, not a curated record.